RNAcentral lists this ribosomal RNA (253 nucleotides) under uncultured bacterium. RNAcentral's name for it is "partial 16S ribosomal RNA". It matches the Rfam family "Bacterial small subunit ribosomal RNA", at positions 524 to 776 of the family's 1533-position model. The record is from RNAcentral.
UACGUAGGGGGCAAGCGUUGUCCGGAUUCAUUGGGCGUAAAGAGCGUGUAGGCGGCCAGGUAGGUCGGUUGUGAAAACUGGAGGCUCAACCUUCAGAGGUCGACCGAAACCAUCUGGCUAGAGUCCGGGAGAGGAGAGUGGAAUUCCCGGUGUAGUGGUGGAAUGCGUAGAUAUCGGGAGGAACACCAGUGGCGAAGGCGGUUACCUGGAGCUUUGCUGACGCUGAUGCGCGAAAGCGUGGGGAGCGAUCCGG